GUGUCAGCAGCCGCGGUAAUACGUAGGGUGCAAGCGUUGUCCGGAAUUACUGGGCGUAAAGAGCUCGUAGGCGGUUUGUCGCGUCGUCUGUGAAAACUCGAGGCUCAACCUCGAGCUUGCAGGCGAUACGGGCAGACUUGAGUACUGCAGGGGAGACUGGAAUUCCUGGUGUAGCGGUGAAAUGCGCAGAUAUCAGGAGGAACACCGGUGGCGAAGGCGGGUCUCUGGGCAGUAACUGACGCUGAGGAGCGAAAGCGUGGGUAGCGAACAGGAUUAGAUACCCUGGUAGUCCACGCCGUAAACGGUGGGCGCUAGGUGUGGGUUUCCUUCCACGGGAUCCGUGCCGUAGCUAACGCAUUAAGCGCCCCGCCUGGGGAGUACGGCCGCAAGGCUAAA
This 396-nucleotide ribosomal RNA is filed under the name uncultured bacterium. Its description in RNAcentral is "bacterial SSU rRNA". It matches the Rfam family "Bacterial small subunit ribosomal RNA", at positions 505 to 898 of the family's 1533-position model. The record is from RNAcentral.